Molecule: ribosomal RNA, 468 nt
Filed under: uncultured bacterium
Lineage: Bacteria
Description: partial 16S ribosomal RNA
Rfam family: Bacterial small subunit ribosomal RNA
Source: RNAcentral
GACGAACGCUGGCGGCGUGCUUAACACAUGCAAGUCGAACGGAAAGGCCCUGCUUUGGUGGGGUGCUCGAGUGGCGAACGGGUGAGUAACACGUGAGUAACCUGCCCUUGACUUUGGGAUAACUUCAGGAAACUGGGGCUAAUACCGGAUAGGAGCUCCUGCUGCAUGGUGGGGGGUGGAGAGUUUCGGCGGUUGGGGAUGGGCUCGCGGCUUAUCAGCUUGUGUGUGGGGUAGUGGCCUACCAAGGCUUUGACGGGUAGCCGGCCUGAGAGGGUGAACGGCCACAUUGGGACUGAGAUACGGCCCAGACUCCUACGGGAGGCAGCAGUGGGGAAUAUUGCACAAUGGGCGCAAGCCUGAUGCAGCGACGCCGCGUGGGGGAUGACGGCCUUCGGGUUGUAAACACCUUUCGCUAGGGACGAAGCGCAAGGGACGGUACCUGGAGAAGAAGCACCGGCUAACUACGUG